This 595-nucleotide long non-coding RNA is filed under the name Malus domestica (apple). RNAcentral's name for it is "long non-coding RNA (MDOM_LNC016443)". The record is from RNAcentral. Lineage: Eukaryota; Viridiplantae; Streptophyta; Magnoliopsida; Rosales; Rosaceae.
UGGCCUCCAUUUGCAAUGAACUUGACUCCAUAUAUUCUAUCUUUGAUCGGCUUAGGCGAAAACCUUUAGAUUCCAACACUUCUCUCCAAAAGUUAAGCUUAGCAUUUACCCCUCCUGAGUUUCAUCUAUCAACACUAUAUCGUGUGCGAAAAGCAUACACCAAGGAAUAUCAUCUUGAAUAUGUCCUGUUAACUCAUCCAUUACCAACGCAAAAAGGUAAGGACUUAAGGAUUGUUGAUGCACAAAAUCAGUGAGGACUUUGGUACAACAGAAAGUAUUAAGUUUGUGAUAUUCGCUAGAUUGCUCUGGUCAUUAGUGUGGAUAAGUAUGUAAAUGGAUAGAGACAGGAAAGCAAACACAAGAUGUACGUGGUUCACCCAGAUUUGCUACGUCCACGGAGUAGAGGAGUUCUCAUUAAUUGUGAAGGGUUUACGCAAGUACAUAGGUUCAAGCUCUCCUUUAGUGAGUACAAGUGAAUGAUUUAGUACAAAUGACAUAGGUGCAAGCUCUCGUCUUCACUUGCCUACAAAUGACAUAGGUGCAAGCUCUCGUCUUCACUUGCUUUAACUGUCUCAUAGGUAGAUGUGGCAUCUUC